Molecule: ribosomal RNA, 332 nt
Filed under: uncultured bacterium
Lineage: Bacteria
Description: bacterial SSU rRNA
Rfam family: Bacterial small subunit ribosomal RNA
Source: RNAcentral
UGCGCAGGCGGCCAAGUGUGUGAGGCGUGAAAGCCUGGAGCUCAACUCCAGAAUUGCACCUCAAACUACAUGGCUAGAGCAUUGGAGAGGGUAGCAGAAUUCACGGUGUAGCAGUGAAAUGCGUAGAUAUCGUGAGGAAUACCAGGGGCGAAGGCGGCUACCUGGACAAUUGCUGACGCUCAGGCACGAAAGCGUGGGGAGCAAAAGGGAUUAGAUACCCCUGUAGUCCACGCCCUAAACGGUGCACACUAGGUCUUGGAGGAUUCGACCCCUUCAGGGCCCAAGCUAACGCGUUAAGUGUGCCGCCUGAGGACUACGGCCGCAAGGCUAAA